CAACAAUUUACCCAUAAAACUAUAAUCAUUAACUGCCUUUCCUUUAUUGAACUCUAGAGCUUUGGCUUUAUAAUUCUAUUUGGCCUGUAUAUGCAGGAAGAGUAUUGAAAUGGUCUAUAUUUAUUUCUUCUCUCUGACAUAGAUGGAAACAGUCAGAGUGACUCUACACACUUCCUGCUUCCACGUUUAGCAUCCCCAAGUGAAGAGAUAUGAAGAGUGUUCAAAAGAUGCUACAAAAUGUUUAGUUUUCAACUCUCCAGAGGAAGCUGACAUGGCAACACUCUGUUAUUUGAAGAUUUGAGUUUUCCUACUACAAGGAAGAAGUUGUAACUUCUGACUUAGUAUGAGGUUCAAGCCAGAUGGAUCAUGUGAUGCAGUCUUGUCAAUGAAAACAGGAAGACAUUUCUCAAGAUUAGAAUGGUCCUGGAACAAAAAAUUGCCUUACCAAGUAAUCAGUGCCUACUAUUGGAUGUAUUCAGGUGCGGUGGGUCACGCCUGUAAUCCCAGCACUUUGGGAGGCCGAGGCGGGCAGAUCACGAAGUCAGUAGUUCGAGGCCAGCCUGACCAACAUGGCGAAAACCCAUCUCUACUAAAAUUACAAAAAUUAGCUGGGCAUGGUGGUGCGUGCCUGUAAUCCCAGGCUACACAGGAGGCUGAGGCAGGACGAUAGCUUGAACCCAGGAGGCAGAGGUUGCAGUGAGCCAAGAUCGUGCCACUGUGCUCCAGCCUGAGCGACACAGUGAGACUCCAUCUCAAAAAUAUAUAUACAUAUAAUAUAUAUUUGUAUAUAUAUUUUGUAUAUGUAUAAAUAUUUUGAGAUUUUUCUCUUUUUUUAAUAUAAAACACAAAACUCUUUUUAAGAUAAAACACAAAAAAGUAUCUACAUUUAUUUGAAAGAUAAAUUUCAGAUUUGACGAUUUUUUAUUUUACUUCUAUGAACUGCCAUACUACUUUCACAUGAGGUAUAAGAUAAAUGAAUUUUGACAAUUUUCUGAGUUAAGAAUUGAUUCUGUAAAAUUGUAGCCAAAUCCAGCUGAUUUAAUACUAUGACCCUAAUUCCUCUUUCAGAACUUACGUUAGUAGAGUUUGAAUAGUUAAGACUUGAAAUUAAGACCCUUGCUUUAGUACAUAAUCUCACAAAUGACUUUCAGAAAAUGGUGCAUCCAGUAUGUUUAUUUGGAGCUUCAAAUUUUUAAUAGUGUCAGAGUCUUUCACAGCACGCUACAAAUUUCAUGAGUAUCAGAUGUCAAGAUCAAACAAAACACAGUUGCCAGUAAAAUAACCAACUAUCAAUUUACUUCUGCUUUACAGUUAAUGUGUGUGCACCCACAUCAAUGAAAAAAAUAAACUUAAAUUUCUUAUG
This 1363-nucleotide long non-coding RNA is filed under the name Homo sapiens (human). Its description in RNAcentral is "HSALNT0191955". Lineage: Eukaryota; Metazoa; Chordata; Mammalia; Primates; Hominidae. The record is from RNAcentral.